This 642-nucleotide long non-coding RNA is filed under the name Marmota monax (woodchuck). Lineage: Eukaryota; Metazoa; Chordata; Mammalia; Rodentia; Sciuridae. The record is from RNAcentral.
GCUGAUUAAGUUGUUCUAGGGUCAUAUUGAGUCAGUGGCCUUGUGUGACUUGUACUCAGUCCUGAUUUCCAACUCAGUGGUAUUUCCAGCUGCCUCCCUAUAUCUGGUUGCACUCCCAGGGACCAAGGAAGAAAUCUGAUCUUCCUUCUACCUCAAAGGCCUUCACAUUUGUGAAGAUAGAUUUCACUCUGAGCCUCUUUUCCCCCUUUCCUGGAAAUUGUAUAGUCCCUAAAAAUUAGGACACUAUCCCAUGCUUGCCCGAACUAAGAACUUAUAGAUCAGAAUUAUCACCUUUCUUGUUUUAGGUGCUUCACGUUUAUGGAGUUGGGAUCAGAAGAAUUUCUGAGCAGACAAAGGCUGUUAGGCCUCAUAAAGUGCCUUAACCUUGUUUGACUUAUGAACACAAGUGAGACUUCAUUAGAGCUAUUUCUAAAAAAUACCUAAAGAAAAAGAGAACUCAAAUCCAAUCACUUAGAACCAGACAGGUGAUUUAUAUACCUAAGCUGUUUCCAAUAGGACAGACUAAAUAGUGUAAAUGUAUAAUUAUAUUAAAACAUUUUCUUUGAUUUACUUCUCUGUUUGCCCUAUUAAACUCUCCCUCUUGAGUUGCCUCUUUGACUUUACUGAACUACUUCUGGACUG